CGUUGGCGGCGUGCCUAAUACAUGCAAGUCGAGCGAACUGAUGAAGAGCUUGCUUUUGAUCAGUUAGCGGCGGACGGGUGAGUAACACGUGGGUAACCUGCCUGUAAGACUAGGAUAACUCCGGGAAACCGGGGCUAAUACUGGAUAACUUUUCUCUCCGCAUGGAGAGAGAUUGAAAGAUGGCUUCGGCUAUCACUUACAGAUGGACCCGCGGCGCAUUAGCUAGUUGGUGAGGUAACGGCUCACCAAGGCAACGAUGCGUAGCCGACCUGAGAGGGUGAUCGGCCACAUUGGGACUGAGACACGGCCCAAACUCCUACGGGAGGCAGCAGUAGGGAAUCUUCCGCAAUGGACGAAAGUCUGACGGAGCAACGCCGCGUGAGUGAAGAAGGUCUUCGGAUCGUAAAACUCUGUUGUUAGGGAAGAACAAGUAUCGUUCGAAUAGGGCGGUACCUUGACGGUACCUAACCAGAAAGCCACGGCUAACUACGUGCCAGCAGCCGCGGUAAUACGUAGGUGGCAAGCGUUGUCCGGAAUUAUUGGGCGUAAAGCGCGCGCAGGCGGUCUUUUAAGUCUGAUGUGAAAGCCCACGGCUCA
RNAcentral lists this ribosomal RNA (597 nucleotides) under Heyndrickxia sporothermodurans. RNAcentral describes it as "bacterial SSU rRNA". It matches the Rfam family "Bacterial small subunit ribosomal RNA", at positions 34 to 611 of the family's 1533-position model. The record is from RNAcentral. Lineage: Bacteria; Bacillati; Bacillota; Bacilli; Caryophanales; Bacillaceae.